GACGAACGCUGGCGGCGUGCUUAACACAUGCAAGUCGAACGGAAAGGCUCCAGCUUGCUGGAGUACUCGAGUGGCGAACGGGUGAGUAACGCGUGGGUAAUCUGCCCUGCACUCUGGGAUAAGCCUGGGAAACUGGGUCUAAUACUGGAUAUGACCUUUCUCCUUAUGGGGUUUGGUGGAAAGUUUUUCGGUGUAGGAUGAGCCCGCGGCCUAUCAGCUUGUUGGUGGGGUGAUGGCCUACCAAGGCGACGACGGGUAGCCGGCCUGAGAGGGUGAUCGGCCACAUUGGGACUGAGAUACGGCCCAGACUCCUACGGGAGGCAGCAGUGGGGAAUAUUGCACAAUGGGCGGAAGCCUGAUGCAGCGACGCCGCGUGAGGGAUGACGGCCUUCGGGUUGUAAACCUCUUUCAGCAGGGACGAAGCGUAAGUGACGGUACCUGCAGAAGAAGCACCGGCUAACUAUGUG
This 467-nucleotide ribosomal RNA is filed under the name uncultured bacterium. Its description in RNAcentral is "partial 16S ribosomal RNA". It matches the Rfam family "Bacterial small subunit ribosomal RNA", at positions 28 to 507 of the family's 1533-position model. The record is from RNAcentral.